Rhododendron vialii is the source of this 1535-nucleotide long non-coding RNA. RefSeq lists it as uncharacterized. The record is from RefSeq and is a predicted model, not a curated record. NCBI's taxonomy places the organism in Eukaryota, Viridiplantae, Streptophyta, Magnoliopsida, Ericales, Ericaceae. The transcript is spliced from 3 exons.
CCACUUAGUGGGUUACGUGGCACAUGGGGCGGACAGCUGAAUUUCGGUGGAGCGGUUUACAUCUAUCCCAAGAGGAAAGAGAGAGCGCCUUGCUUACAUUCUUCUGUUCCCUCAACUUUCACAAUUUCUGCUUCUCCGAUCUUCGCCGUUUGAUUUGCUCUGGUUUUGGCAUUUGUACUUUCGAUUCUGAGGUUGCUGUGGUCCGACUAUUAACUCAACCUUUCUUCAAAAGAUCAACAAACAACACAAAACUAGGGUUAGGGUUUGCUUGCUGUUGUUCAUCUCUCUGCAUUUAAAUGAAGGAGAUGAGUUCUACGACCAAGGGCGGGCGGGGGAAGCCCAAGGCGACCAAGUCCGUGUCCCGGUCCCACAAGGCGGGCUUGCAGUUCCCCGUGGGUCAGAUCGCCCGGUUUCUCAAGGCUGGGAAGUACGCGGAGCGGGUUGGCGCCAGAACCCCGGUCUAUCUCUCUGCUGUCCUUGAGUACCUUGCUGCUGAGGAUAGAGUGAAAUGAGGGAUACAUACUUUCGCUACUUUGCAAACUUUUUAAUUUCCCUAAAUGAAGAGUUGUAACUUGACUUGAUCUUCACUUUCUCGCCAUGCAUGCAUUGCACUUUUACAUGCAAUCAUAAUUGAUUUUGUUGCACGUAAGGAAUGGAAAAUCGUCAAAGAUUACUUCUUUGUUGGCGAAAUGAAGGGCUAAAUAGCACCGGUGAUUCUCUGAGCCGGUCUGGAUUUCCAACGCCUGGGGAAACUGGUUGAGAUAGAUGACAGCACCUUUUUCCCCUCUUCCUUACCGAGAGGGCAAUCUUCUCUUAUGGUCUUUACCUACUGUCCGGUCCAUAUAGUAUUAAUUUAUCGGUAUUUGCUUAAACCUUGUGACACAUACAUUAUAUCUUUUCAAAUUCAUUGAAUUCUUAAUCCUAAGUUUUGUGAUCCAACACCAUGGUUGUCCGUGUUCCAUUUCGCUAGUGGGUGCAUGUGAAGCAUCGGAAUCCUGAAACUCCACAUGGAGGGUUUUAUUGUCUUGGAGGGUUUUAUUGUCUUGAAGGUGACCCGUUGAAAAUAGACCAGGUGAGUCCCUUUCCGUGAUAAAAAGCCCUGGGGAUGGCGUUUAUUCGGGCUCCACUUGCAAACAGGGAGAGAUUGAAGCAGUGGUCAUUGCCACUGGUGUCCAUACCUUCUUUGGCAAGGCUGCUCACCUUGUGGACAGCACAAACCAAGUUGGUCACUUUCGGAAGUUAUGGAGAUUCAAGUAUAAACCACCUUGGGAGCCCGCUUUUGCGCUCCCAACUACCGAGUUUGACGGGAGCCCGCUCCCAUUAAGAUGGGAGCUCGCUCCUUGCAAAGAUAGGAGCUUUUGUAGCUUUAUUAAUUGGGGUCUUUGAUGAACUCAUAUAUCUAGCCCAAGUCAUGAUAUCUUGAACAGUAAAUCAUAUUAUAUUGUAACACUGGCCCAUUUCUUACACUUAUGGAGGACUUGGCCCAUAUUUUUACCUGGCCCAUAUUUUUACUUCCUAUAAUUAAUGAUUGUACU